GACGAACCGUGCAAACGUUGUUCGGAAUCACUGGGCUUAAAGGGCGCGUAGGCGGGCUCUCAAGUCGGGGGUGAAAUCGUUCGGCCCAACCGGACAAGGGCUUCCGAUACUGAGAGUCUCGAGGGAGGUAGGGGUCGAGGGAACUGGUGGUGGAGCGGUGAAAUGCGUAGAUAUCAGGAGGAACACCGGUGGCGAAGGCGCACAUCUGGCCCAAUACUGACGCUAAAGCGCGAAAGCCAGGGGAGCAAACGGG
This 253-nucleotide ribosomal RNA is filed under the name uncultured bacterium. RNAcentral describes it as "partial 16S ribosomal RNA". It matches the Rfam family "Bacterial small subunit ribosomal RNA", at positions 524 to 776 of the family's 1533-position model. The record is from RNAcentral.